Molecule: ribosomal RNA, 253 nt
Filed under: uncultured bacterium
Lineage: Bacteria
Description: partial 16S ribosomal RNA
Rfam family: Bacterial small subunit ribosomal RNA
Source: RNAcentral
UACGUAGGGUGCAAGCGUUGUCCGGAAUUAUUGGGCGUAAAGAGCUCGUAGGCGGUUUGUCGCGUCUGCUGUGAAAACCCGAGGCUCAACCUCGGGCCUGCAGUGGGUACGGGCAGACUAGAGUGCGGUAGGGGAGAUUGGAAUUCCUGGUGUAGCGGUGGAAUGCGCAGAUAUCAGGAGGAACACCGGUGGCGAAGGCGGUUCUCUGGGCAUGUCCUGACGCUGAGGAGCGAAAGUGUGGGGAGCGAACAGG